Dermacentor albipictus is the source of this 1033-nucleotide non-coding RNA. NCBI's taxonomy places the organism in Eukaryota, Metazoa, Arthropoda, Arachnida, Ixodida, Ixodidae. The record is from RefSeq and is a predicted model, not a curated record.
UUACGGCACAAGCAAAAAGAGUGGGACUGCAAUUCACCACAAAGACAUUCGUCUGUUGUGGGAUUAUUACUUUGUGAAGAAAAUGGCCUUACAUACGUUUUCAGACGUGCGACUAAAGUUACCGAAAGUGCAGUUCACAUAUUUCUGGCAUAAACUCGGAGAACAUUCGACGAAGUCACCAAACGUCUUCUCUCCCGUCGUCUUUAUGUGUUUUCAUGUGCUGGUCACAUGCAGCGGGUAGGGAGGUGUAUGCUCUCGGAGGUCUUCUCUCUGACAAAUGUAUGACCCUAAUUUCCUUAUGGCGCCCUUUUAUGCGCAAAAGAACCCUUGCGCUUACAUAUCCGGAUGUGAUUGGAGGUUCCUUUCGAAAAUAAAUUUAAUGGCCCUCGCGAAAUUCUAUGCUAUUCUAUUUUUGAUGACUCGCUAUACUAAGCAUCGAGAUAAACAUUUACGACCUAGCUGAUCAGACCGAUUUCACGACAAUCUCCGAAUUGACGUACAUGCGGAGCCUGUCUAUACGAGGGUCUUGCUGAGUAGUUCUGUAAGCCGAUUCAUUUGUGGUUGACGAGGUGUCAUCGUCUUACGCACCGUGUCAUUGAGCGUGAGUACACUACUCCUCAGUUCAGCUGAAAAUGUGGUUUCUCGGCCUGUUAUGAUAACCGAUUGCGUGGCGUGCCUCAGAACAGUGUUCCCGAAGAAAAAUCUUGUUGCUGCAGCUGCUGUAUCGUUCGGGAGUGUCUUGGUUUCCAUGCAUCGAAUGAGCUGCUUAUCACGGUGAUGACCCAUCUAUUUCAGAAGCAGACAUUGGAAGUGGACCCAGAAGGUGAAUCCCAUUUCAAUCAAACGGCGUUUCCGGUAUUUCAAAGAGUGCCUGUAGCCACUGCAUUACGAGGGGGAUGAACCAUUGUAUUUUUGCUUGCUUAGGGAGCCAUGAGCCUUUGCUGAUGAUGAUAAAUUUGUUCACGGUUGGACACGAGUAAAUGCAACUAUCGAGAGGCUAACAGCUUCGCUAUAAGAAAAUCCGUGAUAUUAC